CUCUUUUUCUCUUUUCUUUUUUCUUUUUCUUUCUCUAGCUGCGGCUAUCUUCUUUUUCUUUUUUCUUCCCUCAUCCUCCAUUCACCAGAUCUACUGAAUGAGUUUUCAUGUGAUGAAAUUGAACUGGGUUGCAGCCAUGGAUGAUUGAGAACGAAUUGAAGAUGGGUUUGAUUUUUAUGGUGAUGGAAGAUGAUUGGUGCUGCAAAUUACAGAUCGAGAGAGAGAGAGUUAGGGUUUGAAGCCGGGAAUCAGUUUGUAGAAGUGAUCGAUGGUUGAUGUUGGCAGUGACGAAGAUGGUGGUAUAUUGAAGAUGGGUUUGAUCUAAAACCAGUUCUUUAUUGAGGAAGAAGAUGAGCUCGAUUUCAAGAAUUUGAGAGUUUGAAGAUUCAGAUGAUUAUCUUAGAAGAUGAAAUUGAAAUUGAAGAUGGGGUUUGAAUCUAAGAGGCAGGAGGUGAUUGAGGUUGAAUCGGAGAUGAAAUUGAAGAUUGGUUGAGUUCGAAUUGUUGAAGGUCAGUGAUAAUGGAAGAGGUGUGGCUGCUGCUGUUAAUGGAGAUUGAGAGAAUCAGGGAGGAAACGAGAUUAAAGAAAUGAAGAUAGAAAAUUAUUGUUGCAGUCCGAAGGAAAGAACAAAGAUGGGUUCCAGUCUAAUUUGGGUUUGAUGUUACCAGUGAUAAAUUGAGAAGACAGAAUUGAAGAGAGAAUCAAAGAAGAAAUUGGGGGUUCGAUUGGAGAUUAAUCAGGUAUGUAAACAAUGGGUUUGUGGUAGAUUUGAAUAAGACACAAAACAAAAGAAGAUUGAGUUUUUGGUGCUGUAAUGAGAUUGAGGCAGUGAUGCUGUUGAUGGUGUUAACAUUGAGCUGCAGUUCAAAUUGGUUUUCAUGUUGAUUGUCAUGGGUCAGUUGCAGGAGAUUGGUGGUAGUGAAUCGAAUGCUAAGCAAUGAAUUGAAUGGAGGAAUGCAGUUUUGAUAGAAGUGUGGUGCUGCAGGUGAACAUGAAGACAAAUCUGAGAAGUGUGGAGCUUCUUUGUUCAUAAUAUUAAUAACCCAUUACCACCACCACGGCACCACCAAAUCCUCAACAACAACAACCAGCUUAUGAUGUUACAGAAAAAUAGACCUCUUCUGAUUGUGGCUGAGGAUGUCGAAAGUGAGGCUUUGGAUAUGGUUAUUUCCUUUGUAGAUAAACUUAAAUUUGAAAUCAAUGACUUGAUUACGGUUAUUUGAACUUAGCUCAAUGUUUAAGUUUACAUACAAAGGAAAGCAGUUCACAUACAAAGGAAAACAGUUCAAUGUUUGAGAACUUGGUGAUGGAUCUUUUUUUUUUGGUCCGACUCGGUAAGUUGUUGCAAGGAAGCUACAGAUGGUAGUGAUGCUGUCUGAGGUGGUGGUGCAGUAAAAUGGAAGAAUGGUGCUGAGAUGCAGGGAAUGGUACAUGGUGCUAGAGCUACAGUUGGAAAUGGAAGUUCUAAAUGGUGACACUGAAUGUAAUGGCUUGAGAUGCUGAAAUUGAAGCCGAAAUGUACGCUUAGGUAAAUGAAUGUGGAGGAUACAAAAGGCCAAGUCAGGCUCAGUUGAGAAAGGACAAGAAACUGGUGAUUUGAAGUUAGCUAGGUAAUGCAAUUGGAGUGGCAGGUCUUGAAUGAAUGUAAAUGUGUUACACUGGCAGGUUAAUAUGAAAUUAUGAAUGUGAAAUACUUUCGGCAAUUCGAUUUCAGCUAUAAUUUUUUUUUUCAAAA
Molecule: long non-coding RNA, 1735 nt
Organism: Papaver somniferum (opium poppy)
Lineage: Eukaryota; Viridiplantae; Streptophyta; Magnoliopsida; Ranunculales; Papaveraceae
Exons: 3
Source: RefSeq, a predicted model, not a curated record